This 106-nucleotide small RNA is filed under the name Flavobacterium sp. RNAcentral's name for it is "6S RNA". It matches the Rfam family "6S-Flavo RNA". The record is from RNAcentral. Lineage: Bacteria; Pseudomonadati; Bacteroidota; Flavobacteriia; Flavobacteriales; Flavobacteriaceae.
ACUCAACACUAACAAAUUAAAAUGAGCAAAUCUUCAUUCCUAAAGCAUGCUGCCUUGCGCAGAAACUUGAAUAAUGAGUUAGCUCAAAACUUGUCUUAUCGAGUUU